CGGUGCGGCUGGGCCCCAGGAGGGAGCCGCGCGCCGGAGCAUCUUCUGGCCUCGGUGGGAGGCAGCCCUUCCCCCGCGCCCUGCUCCGCGGGGCCCCAGUCUGCACCGCUGUGUGCCCUCACCUGUGUCCGCACCGACCGGAUUGCGCCGCUGCCCCUUUGCACAGGGUGUCUCCCCGCUCCGCCUGCGCCCCGCGACCUCAGCUCGUGUCGCAGCCUAAGCCGCGGCCCCCCUCUCCUGGCCUCCACAAAUCAUUGUCCAGCCUGGAACCUCUCUCUCCGUAGGAUUUAUCUUCCAAAUUAUAUAAUUUAAUUUUUUUAAUCGUAUCCAUCGUGUGCCUCUCGUCCUGCCUUAAGCUCCACUAGGGAAAGGAUCUCUUGUUUUGUUCGCCGCAACCCCGGAUGCUACAACAGGGACCGGCACACAGAAGGAGAGACUUGGUUAUAUUUUGAGAAUAAGCCAGAAGAGCUAGCAAGAUUCAAGAAAUAAGGGAGAGUGUGUGUGAGUUAGCAAAGCCUGGACCUAGAGGAAAAGGAAAAGUCUGUGGAACUUAAAUUGGAAGAUCAGAGAGAGGGAAGAGGAUAUAUGGACAUAACAUUGAAUUCUGAGACAAAAUACCUGAUGUGGCAGCCACGGGGACCGUGUGGCUCAGAUCUCCCUUGGCGAAAGAAUCUGCCAUUCAACUACUGGUGUGCAGGCAGCUGUCAGCCUCCAGUUACAUCACCUUUGGGAUCCAUUACAGUGUCAGAGCUUCUAGAAGCUGUCUGUACUCUGGCUCAUGGCACCUUCCUCCAUCUGCAAAGCCAGCAACGCAGCAUCUUCAAGCCUCUCUCCCACUUCCUGGCUGCCUCUUCUGUUGUCACAGCUCCUUCACUGACCUGAUCCUCCUUCCUCCAUCUCAGAAGGACACCUGUGAUUACAGGGGGCCCACCUGGCUAAUCCAGGUACUUCCCCAUCUUUGAGUCCCCAUCCCUAACUUAAUUGCAUCUGCAAAGUCCCUUUUGCCAUGCAAGGUAGCAUAUUUUAGGGGCUCCAAGGAUGAAGACGUGACCACCUUUGGGAAGCCGUUAUUCCACAUUAUUGCAGUGAUACAGGGGUGAACACAGGAGGUGACAUCCCUGUUCCCAUGGAGAUUCUCUUCUAGUGUAGGAGAGACAGAAACUAAUUGGUAAGAUGCUGAUACAUGCUAUGAAGAAAAUUUUAAAGGGGUGUCAUGAUGGUGACUAGGUAUAGAGAAUGGUUGGAGAAGUCUCUCUGAGGAGGUAGCUUUUGAGCCAAAGCCUGAAGAAUUAGAAGGCACUUACUGGCACCCUUGCAUCCAGGGUCCCCCUGGAAUCCUGCGGAGAUUUUUGGUAAAUUUGGCACCUGUUUAGGAAAUGAGUUGACUACUUAUGAAUGUACUCUAUUAAGGAGACCAGUUCCAAUGCACAAAGUAAAUACUGACUUGUCAUCUCUGCCCCGGGGAUUUUAGUUUCUAGCCUUUCUAAAUUGGAAGUCAAGAUCAAGAACCAACUCUGCCUCUUUAGGAUUAAGAAUCUAGCACUGUUUCACGCAUAUCGUCUGGCAUAAAAGCCCUAAGACUACACUGGAUGGCAGAGACCAAUUGGGAGUAAUUUAAAUCCUUAGCCACUUAAAUUUGAAUUUCCAAAAGCUUUUCAGAGAAGUUUAAAGUGGAUGGGCCUCAGCAAGAGUCUCAUUCCUCACUGAAUCCUGGGGACAGGGACACCAGGUGCUGGGUCCAUCCAUUCAGUGAAUUGUACUGGUGUCUCUCAAGUUCUGUAAUGCCUCAGAAGAACUAAGAAAUGAGACCUUGGGACCAGCAGAUUAGCAGAGCAACUGAUUCCCUAGGAGAAAAAUAUAUUUCUUUCUAGGCUGUAAAAGGGAAGGUUUUCUGUAUAUUGAUGGGGACAAGGAGAGCAUGGUCUUAAGGAGGGAGUCAGCCAGUUAAAUAAAGUACAAAAAGAACACAACAUUCUCACAGCAGCUAACUGAAGAGUUUUCUCCCCAGUUCUCUGCCUCUUAUCUCAUUCGCACCGCCCCCACUAGGAAGUGGCUACUUUAUCCUACAAUCAUACUCUUUGUAUCUUGUCUCCCUGGUUGUCUUUUGUUUUUUCCAAAGUAAUUAUUUUAUUUCAAAAUGAGUUUCUCUUUGGGGCGCCUGGGUA
Molecule: long non-coding RNA, 2165 nt
Organism: Herpailurus yagouaroundi (jaguarundi)
Lineage: Eukaryota; Metazoa; Chordata; Mammalia; Carnivora; Felidae
Exons: 4
Source: RefSeq, a predicted model, not a curated record